RNAcentral lists this ribosomal RNA (584 nucleotides) under uncultured bacterium. RNAcentral describes it as "partial 16S ribosomal RNA". It matches the Rfam family "Bacterial small subunit ribosomal RNA", at positions 355 to 1375 of the family's 1533-position model. The record is from RNAcentral.
UGGGGAAUUUUGGACAAUGGGCGAAAGCCUGAUCCAGCAAUGCCGCGUGUGUGAAGAAGGCCUUCGGGUUGUAAAGCACUUUUGUCCGGAAAGAAAUCCUUGCUCUAAUACAGUCGGGGAUGGACGGUACCGGAAGAAUAAGCACCGGCUAACUACGUGCCAGCAGCCGCGGUAAUACGUAGGGUGCAAGCGUUAAUCGGAAUUACUGGGCGUAAAGCGUGCGCAGGCGGUUUGCUAAGACCGAUGUGAAAUCCCCGGGCUCAACCUGGGAACUGCAUUGGUGACUGGCAGGCUAGAGUAUGGCAGAGGGGGGUAGAAUUCCACGUGUAGCAGUGAAAUGCGUAGAGAUGUGGAGGAAUACCGAUGGCGAAGGCAGCCCCCUGGGCCAAUACUGACGCUCAUGCACGAAAGCGUGGGGAGCAAACAGGAUUAGAUACCCUGGUAGUCCACGCCCUAAACGAUGUCAACUAGUUGUUGGGGAUUCAUUUCCUUAGUAACGUAGCUAACGCGUGAAGUUGACCGCCUGGGGAGUACGGUCGCAAGAUUAAAACUCAAAGGAAUUGACGGGGUCAUAGCUGUUUCCU